Molecule: transfer RNA, 73 nt
Filed under: Loxodonta africana (African savanna elephant)
Lineage: Eukaryota; Metazoa; Chordata; Mammalia; Proboscidea; Elephantidae
Rfam family: tRNA
About the family: Transfer RNA (tRNA) molecules are approximately 80 nucleotides in length. Their secondary structure includes four short double-helical elements and three loops (D, anti-codon, and T loops). Further hydrogen bonds mediate the characteristic L-shaped molecular structure. tRNAs have two regions of fundamental functional importance: the anti-codon, which is responsible for specific mRNA codon recognition, and the 3' end, to which the tRNAs corresponding amino acid is attached (by aminoacyl-tRNA synthetases). tRNAs cope with the degeneracy of the genetic code in two manners: having more than one tRNA (with a specific anti-codon) for a particular amino acid; and 'wobble' base-pairing, i.e. permitting non-standard base-pairing at the 3rd anti-codon position.
Source: Rfam by way of RNAcentral
UCCUGGGUGGCAUAAAUGGUCAUGCAUUUGGCUUCUAGCCAAAAGAUUGGUGGUUCAAAUCCAUCCAGAGGAG